This 301-nucleotide ribosomal RNA is filed under the name uncultured bacterium. Its description in RNAcentral is "partial 16S ribosomal RNA". It matches the Rfam family "Bacterial small subunit ribosomal RNA", at positions 509 to 807 of the family's 1533-position model. The record is from RNAcentral.
CAGUCGCCGCGGUAAUACGGAGGGGGCUAGUGUUGUUCGGAAUUACUGGGCGUAAAGCGCACGUAGGCGGCUUGGUAAGUUAGAGGUGAAAGCCUGGAGCUCAACUCCAGAAUUGCCUUUAAGACUGCCGAGCUAGCAGGUGAGAGAGGUAAGUGGAAUUCCGAGUGUAGAGGUGAAAUUCGUAGACAUUCGGAAGAACACCAGUGGCGAAGGCGGCUUACUGGCUCAUACUGGACGCUGAGGUGCGAAAGCGUGGGGAGCAAACAGGAUUAGAUACCCCGGUAGUCCCUGUCUCUUAUAC